UAGGGAAUCUUCCGCAAUGGACGCAAGUCUGACGGAGCAACGCCGCGUGAGUGAAGAAGGAUUUCGGUUCGUAAAACUCUGUUGUUAGAGAAGAACAGCGCAUAGAGUAACUGUUAUGCGUGUGACGGUAUCUAACCAGAAAGCCACGGCUAACUACGUGCCAGCAGCCGCGGUAAUACGUAGGUGGCAAGCGUUGUCCGGAUUUAUUGGGCGUAAAGCGAGCGCAGGCGGUCAAUUAAGUCUGAUGUGAAGGCCCCCGGCUCAACCGGGGAGGGUCAUUGGAAACUGGUUGACUUGAGUGCAGAAGAGGAGAGUGGAAUUCCAAGUGUAGCGGUGAAAUGCGUAGAUAUAUGGAGGAACACCGGUGGCGAAAGCGGCUCUCUGGUCUGUAACUGACGCUGAGGCUCGAAAGCGUGGGUAGCAAACAGG
Molecule: ribosomal RNA, 429 nt
Filed under: Bacteroidota bacterium
Lineage: Bacteria; Pseudomonadati; Bacteroidota
Description: Bacteroidetes bacterium partial 16S ribosomal RNA
Rfam family: Bacterial small subunit ribosomal RNA
Source: RNAcentral